This 774-nucleotide ribosomal RNA is filed under the name uncultured Neocallimastigales. RNAcentral describes it as "partial large subunit ribosomal RNA". It matches the Rfam family "Eukaryotic large subunit ribosomal RNA", at positions 24 to 649 of the family's 3401-position model. The record is from RNAcentral. Lineage: Eukaryota; Fungi; Neocallimastigomycota; Neocallimastigomycetes; Neocallimastigales.
UUAUGUGAUCGUCUCUCGCAUAUCAAUAAGCGGAGGAAAAGAAACUAACAAGGAUUCCUCUAGUAACGGCGAGUGAAGCGGGAAGAGCUCAAAUUUGAAAUCUUAAAGGGUUUCCCUUUACGAAUUGUAGUUUAAAGAAGUGUUUUCUGUUGAGGUUUUGGUAAAAGUUCUUUGGAAUAGGACAUCAUAGAGGGUGAGAAUCCCGUAUUUGACCUUUACUUUCAACUUUGUGAUACACUUUCAAAGAGUCGGAUUGUUUGGGAAUGCAGUCCAAAAUGGGUGGUAAAUUUCAUCUAAAGCUAAAUAUUGGCGAGAGACCGAUAGCGAACAAGUACCGUGAGGGAAAGAUGAAAAGAACUUUGAAAAGAGAGUUAAACAGUACGUGAAAUUGUCAAAAGGGAAGCGUUUGACACCAGUGUUGUUUUUCUGAAAAUCAAUUAAAGAACUGUUUAUGCUAAGUUGUUUAGACUUUAUCAGCUAACUGUUUAGUUUUGAGCUUUUCUUUAUGCACUUUUCAGUUAACAAGUCAACAUCAAUUUCUUUUGCUGUAAAAAAGCUUGAGGAAGGUGGCUUGAGAUUCGUCUUAAGUGUUUAUAGCCUCUUGCCUAUGCAGUCGGAGAGAUUGAGGUCUGCAGCGUAGAUCCUUCGGGGCUAAAUGCAUUUGUGCUAAGUUAUAGCAUUUUAUAGACAACUUGUUGACUAUGAUUUGUCUUGUAGCUUACUCGCUUAUGUUAUUUUACCUACGCUUAGGAUGUUGAGUAGCGACAUACGCAC